RNAcentral lists this long non-coding RNA (3560 nucleotides) under Setaria viridis. RNAcentral's name for it is "long non-coding RNA (SVIR_LNC000125)". Lineage: Eukaryota; Viridiplantae; Streptophyta; Magnoliopsida; Poales; Poaceae. The record is from RNAcentral.
CGAUGACAAGCCUAUCUCAAGUCCAUAGAUCCAUUACUUUGCAAUGUUACACCAUGGUCCAAAACAAAAUGACACGCAGGCUGAAGCCAGCUGAGUUAGCUCCAGUAGCUUAGGCUUCGUCAAGGGCAAGAACACCUGGGAGCGUCUUGCCUUCCAACAGCUCCAAACUCGCACCACCGCCUGUCGAAAUGUGGCUCAUCUUGUCAGCCAGCCCAGCCUUCUCAACAGCAGCAACAGAGUCACCGCCACCGAUGAUGGUUGUGACACCCUUUGUGGUUGUAAGCUCAGCCAACUUCUUCGCAAUGGCCUGAAGAAAACAAAUACACAAGACACCAAAACGUUCAAGCAAACAAAAAGGGAGAACCCAUAAAUCUAUUGAUGUAAUGCGAGACUAUAUUACCUCAGUGCCUGCAGCAAACUUCUCAAACUCAAACACUCCCAUCGGACCGUUCCAAAUAAUAGUCUGGGUUUUGUCCAACGCGUCGUUGAAGGUUUUGGUGGCAUCAGGGCCAACAUCAAGACCCAUCCAAUCAUCGGGGAUAGCAGUGGCAGGAACAAUCUGUAAAAGGCGUUCAAGUAAGCAUCAAAGAUAGAUGAAAAUCUCUUUACAAUGCUGCAAAUGAAACUUGCAUGCAAAUUAACAUGCUGCGUCUAUUCACAUUGAGCUGCUACGAGAAUGUUAGAAAAACUCCACUUUAUAAUUGUUAGUGCCAUGGAGGUGUUUAUGUGUAAAUGAACAAACCUUGCUCUCAGCGUCAGGUGCAAACUUGUCAGCUACUACAAUAUCAGUGGGAAGCAGAAGAGAAACACCCUUUGCCUUCGCCUUUUCAAUCAGUGAGGUUGCAAGCUCAAGUUUGUCUUCCUCCACAAGAGACUUUCCAACAGCAUAUCCCUGUGCCUUGUAGAAUGUGUAGAUCAUACCACCACCAAGGAUGAGGAUAUCAACCUUUGCCAGCAGAGACUCAAUGACCCCAAUCUUGGUCGAGACCUUGGAUCCACCAACAAUGGCAGCAAAUGGCUUCUUUGGGUUGGCAACAGCUCCAACAAGAUAAUCAAGUUCCUGGGAUAAUUAAAUUAUUAGUCAAACAAACUUUUGCUCUGAAAAACUUGUUCCAUUCUUAAAAGUACAUAAGGAUUGCUUUCGAAGAAGAAAUAAACAUAUUUAAAAUGCAAGGAUCCAAGUAAUUCAUUGCAUUUUCCUCAGAAGCUAUAUGUAAAUAUCUAUGUUACUAGACCAGGAUUUUGAAACUGCAGGGAGCAUACAUUGUACAUACAUUUUAACACUUCCUACUUUACAUAAGCAGGACCUUAUUAUGGAGAUAAACAAUUUUUUUCUCUUACACACGGGAGAUGGGGGGGGGGGGGGGGGUUCAACAAACAUAGGCAGAUCAUGAGCAGCAGGGCUGAGAUUUUAUUACCUUCUGCAUGAGGAAGCCAGCAACAGCAGGCUUCAAAAACUUAGUAACUCCUUCUGUUGAAGCAUGAGCUCUGUGUGCCGUGCCAAAAGCGUCAUUUACAUAAAGGUCAGCAGCAGAUGCAAGCUUCUUAGCAAACUCAGGGUCAUUCUUUUCUUCCUCCUUGUAGAAUCUAACAUUCUCAAGGAGCAGAACUCCACCUUCCGGCAAAGCAGCAGCCAAUUUCUCAACUUCCUCACCAAUGCAAUCAUUGGCCAUCACAACCUAUUUAUGCAGAAACACGAGCAGCAAUUAGUUAGUUCAGAGACAUCAGAAAACACAAUAAUGACCCAAUGUCAGAUCACAGCAUACGUCGACUCCAAGGAGCUCAGACAAGCGUGGAACAAGAGGCUUCAAGCUGUACUUCGGGGUGACACCUUUUGGACGACCCUGGAAAUAACAGCAGCAAAUUACAUCAGAAAAAGAAAAGGCACAAAUCAUGCUUCUUGCUAAACAUAAAUGCUUGCUGCCAUGUUACUAAUCAUAAGAAACAUCACAAUCACAAAGAUUGUUUAAUGAGGGCAUGGCAGCAUGCUAAUUUCAAUCAAGUUCAAAUAAGCAACUAUGGGAAUUAGUUAAAAGAAAAACAAUUCCUUAACCUAAACUGUAAUUGUUUAAGUUUUUGUGUUCCUAAAAUCAAUGCAUUCUGCUGGAAAUUAUAAUAAUAGUUCAAACUGCAAAGGAUACAAGAUCACUGGUAAAUAUCUUGUUGCGCAUCUAGUAUCAGGUGCCAAAUAUACUAUCAUUCUGUCUGAUAAACGAAAUGUUGUCCCCCCCCCCUCGCAUCUCAAUGAAUGGAAUGAUGUUUGCAGCAGAAGAAAAAAUUGAAAGAAACAAUUAACGAUAACCCUGCUUGUGCGAAUCAGAAACAGCUCAUAGAUUGUGUAAAUGGGUUAGGUUCCAACUAACUAGAACACAAAAGGCACAUUUUGGUUCUAAACCAACAUUCAACAAUCUACAAUAGAAAAAUGAACUUGCAUUAGCUGAAAGCAACAGCAGCUGAAAGCAACAGCGAUGAAUAACACCCCAUGUAUUUGACAAGGAAUAAACAAUCCACUUAAACAAUCUAGAGAGGUCAACACUCCAUAUCCAUGAUGUUAAUUCUUAAAUGCAGAUUUAUUGAGAAAUCGAAAUGGUGGCACUAGAAUCCGUGUUGAACCAUGCUGAUCAUUUUCCUUAAAUAUAAAGGCAUACUGGUAGUAGAACUGCUAGCUAGAUUAUAUCCCGGAUAGUGGCCAAGCACAAGCUCAGAAAACAACACUAAAGAAAUAAUGCCAAUAUACUCAGCACUGUUUGCAUGCUCGUUCAUGGCAUUUAACUGCAACAGUAACAACCGUUUUAACAGUAAAUGAACUACAGCAAGGGCAGUCGAUCAGAGAUUCAGAGUUGCAGGCAUGCAGCGCUGCGGGCCAACAUAAACUACAGAUCUCAAACUAAAACUGGGCCGCCUUCGCCGCAAGAUCAUAGCACACCCAUACCUACGCAGAGCCGCCAAAUUAAUCCCACCUAUACUGCCAUAAACGUAAGCACAGCACUUUUGCGUCACAACCGUGAUUUAAAUCCCAAAUUGACUAGAGCCAGAGUCAAAUCUCGGCACUGUGAUCACGCAGAACCCCAUCCCAUCCACUCAAUCCUCCACGGCCCAGCAUCUUGGCUUAAAUGCAAAUCAAGCUUUGAGUUAACAGUACGUGAUGGAGAUGUGGGCCGCGUCAGCAUACUCACCAGGUGGCUGGCGAGGAUGACCUUGGCGCCCUUCUCGAGGAGGAACUUGACGGUGGGGACGGAUGCGCGGAUGCGGGUGUCGUCGGUGAUCUUCUGGGCGUCGUCGAGCGGCACGUUGAGGUCGGCGCGCACGAACACCUUCUUCCCCCUCAGAUCCGCCUCCCCGAGGGUGCCCACGCUCCUCUUGGUCGCCAUCACUCCCUGCAACGCCGCGAGGAUCAAACCCGAGCUCGGAGCCCGACGGCGACGGAUCCGGGGCGCAGCAACACGACCGGCGGGGAAGACUCACCGUGGAUUGGAAGAACCGGAUCGAGGCGAAGGAUAACGCGACGAUGAGAUCGGUGGUGGUGAUGUGAGCUUUGGAUGUGCCAAUCGGAUGGGGGU